ACGUACGCUGCGGCACGCCUAACACAUGCAAGUCGAACGAAGUAGCAAUACUUAGUGGCAGACGGGUGAGUAACAUGUAGGUAUCUGCCCUUUGGCCUGGAAUAACACGAGGAAACUUGUGCUAAUACCGGAUAAGUCUUUACGGAGAAAGCUUUAUGCACCAUUGGAUGAGCCUGCACUUGAUUAGUUUGUUGGUGGGGUAAUGGCCUACCAAGACUGUGAUCAAUAGCUGAUUUGAGAGGAUGAUCAGCCACAUUGGGACUGAGACACGGCCCAAACUCCUACGGGAGGCAGCAGUGGGGAAUCUUGCACAAUGGAGGAAACUCUGAUGCAGCGAUGCCGCGUGAGUGAAGAAGGCCCUUGGGUUGUAAAGCUCUUUCGUCGGGGAAGAAAAUGACUGUACCCGAAUAAGAAGGUCCGGCUAACUUCGUGCCAGCAGCCGCGGUAAUACGAAGGGACCUAGCGUAGUUCGGAAUUACUGGGCUUAAAGAGUUCGUAGGUGGUUGAAAAAGUUAGUGGUGAAAUCCCAGAGCUUAACUCUGGAACUGCCAUUAAAACUUUUCAGCUAGAGUAUGAUAGAGGAAAGCAGAAUUUCUAGUGUAGAGGUGAAAUUCGUAGAUAUUAGAAAGAAUACCAAUUGCGAAGGCAGCUCUCUGGAUCAUUACUGACCACUGA
This 675-nucleotide ribosomal RNA is filed under the name alpha proteobacterium IMCC15241. RNAcentral describes it as "bacterial SSU rRNA". It matches the Rfam family "Bacterial small subunit ribosomal RNA", at positions 29 to 749 of the family's 1533-position model. Lineage: Bacteria; Pseudomonadati; Pseudomonadota; Alphaproteobacteria. The record is from RNAcentral.